Molecule: ribosomal RNA, 253 nt
Filed under: uncultured bacterium
Lineage: Bacteria
Description: partial 16S ribosomal RNA
Rfam family: Bacterial small subunit ribosomal RNA
Source: RNAcentral
UACGUAGGUGGCAAGCGUUGUCCGGAUUUACUGGGCGUAAAGAGCGCGCAGGCGGUCGUUCAAGUCGCGUGUGAAAGCCCCCGGCUCAACUGGGGAGGGUCACGCGAUACUGAUCGACUCGAAGGCAGGAGAGGGAAGUGGAAUUCCCGGUGUAGUGGUGAAAUGCGUAGAUAUCGGGAGGAACACCAAUGGCGAAGGCAGCUUGCUGGGACGGUACUGACGCUGAGACGCGAAAGCGUGGGGAGCAAACAGG